GCUCUGUAACUAAAUCUGGAUGCGUCUGGCCACCUGGAGUUUGCAUGGAGACCCUGGGCUGUGCACACCGCAGGACUCUCACCUGGAACACUCGGAGACCCCAGGAUUCAAGCACUCUGCAGCUGGCCGCACAAUCUAACAGAGACCCAUUAAAAUGGUUGUCCACAACAGAAUUCACACACAUUCUUUACAAGGGAAGGGAUGCGAACACAUUCCCAAAAGAAAAACAGCCACAAGGUUUUACAAGCUAGGAAAGGAAAAGCUGCAUGGAUCAAAUGCUAGGGUUCGUGAAAUUCCUCUGAGGAGAGAAACAACACAAAGCCCUUCUUGUGUGUUCUCGUUAAUACGUCCUUAAUGUGAACUGACAGUAUCUUGCCUCAAACACCUUUUAAGCAACAAGACAUGACAAGACAUAUGCUGGCAGGAGAUAAGGCUCACCCCUGAAACACACGCAGGUGAAAAAGUUCCCCCCCGAAACACACGCAUGCAAGUGAAAAGGUUCCCCCUGAAACACACACAUGCAGGUGAAAAGGUUCCCCCCGAAACACACGCAUGCAAGUGAAAAGGUUCCCCCUGAAACACACACACACACAGGUGAAAAGGCUCCCCCCUGAAACACACACAUGCAGGUGAAAAGGCUCCCCCUGAAACACACACAUGCAGGUGAAAAGGUUCCCCCCGAAACACACGCAUGCAAGUGAAAAGGUUCCCCCUGAAACACACAUGCAGGUGAAAAGGCUCCCCCCUGAAACACACACAUGCAGGUGAAAAGGUUCCCCCUGAAACACACCCACACAGGUGAAAAGGUUCCCCCCAAAACACACGCAUGCAAGUGAAAAGGUUCCCCCGAAACACACACACGCAGGUGAAAAGGCUCCCCCCUGAAACACACACAUGCAGGUGAAAAGGUUCCCCCAUGAAACACAUGCAUGCAAGUGAAAAGAUUCCCCCCAAAACACACGCAUGCAAGUGAAAAGGUUCCCCCUGAAACACACACACACAGGUGAAAAGGCUCCCCCCAACCAGUCACAAAACACACACAUGCAGGUGAAAAAGUUCCCCCGUCAAACACACACAGGUGAAAAGGCUCCCCCCUGAAACACAAAUGCAGAUGAAAAGGUUCCCCCCGAAACACACACAGGUGAAAAGGCUCCCCCCGAAACACACACGCAGGUGAAAAUGCUCCCCACAAAACACACGCAGGUGAAAAUGCUCCCCACAAAACACAGGUGAAAAUGCUCCCCACAAAACACACGCAGGUGAAAAGGCUCCCCCCAAAACACAUGUAGGUGAAAAGUCUCCCCCCGAAACACACAGGUAAAAAGGCUCCCCCCGAAACACACAUGCAGGUGAAAAGUUUCCCCGCGAAACACACACAUGCAGGUGAACAGGCUCCCCUCUGAAACACACACAGAUGAAAAGGCUCCCCCUACCUCACGAAACACACACACAUGCAAGUGAAAAAGUUCCCCCGUGAAACACACACAGGUGAAAAGGCUCCCCCCGAAACACACACAUGCAGGUGAAAAGGUUCCCCCCUGAAACACGCAGAUGAAAGGGCUCCCCCCGAAACACACGUAGAUGAAAAGAUUCCCCCCGAAACACACGCAGAUGAAAAGGCUUCCCCCACAAAAACACACGCACAGGUAAAAACACUCCCCACAAAACACACGCAGGUGAAAAGGCUCCCCCCAAAACACAUGCAGGUGAAAAGGCUUCCCCCGAAACACACAUGGGUGAAAAGGCUCCCCCAAAACACACACACUACAGGCGAAAAGGCUUCCCCGUGAAACACACACACACAGGUGAAAAGGCUCCCCCUGAAAAACAGGCAGGUGAAGUCACAACCUCCUCUACUCGGAAGGGCUUUAUCUUGGAGUCACACCAGGUUCCAGAACCUUCAUCAAUUAUACAUCCAUCUCUCAAAAAAAAAAAAAAAGGGUGAGAUCUCUUUGCACAUGGAGGCAUGGGAAGAACCCACUGUUUUAUGCCUUUUUCAUUUGCCCCGUGGAAUCUACAACUAAUCCACCAGUAAUUCUUCAACAGUUCAAGCACAGGACACAGAAUUCCCAAGAGAAUGGCGACUGGCCACUAAUUUUUUCACACAUAUUAACUUAGCAUUUUUAAAUCAAAACUAAAUAAGGCUAGCUCAUGCAUAGACAAAAUCAAUUUAGAGCCAGAGGAAAUGUGUCCACCAAAGGAACCACGUCACAAUGAGGGCUGAUAUCCUCACACGCUGUGUGCGAUCCUGACCACUGAUUCCCCAUCUCUUGUGAAAAUCACAGGCCACAGACCACAUGCCGCUGAGACAGCUAAACAUUUCUCCACAUCUGGGAAGCCCACAUCUCAGGAGGACCGAAGGAAUUCUUGGGGCUGUUCUGAUUUUGAAUUCAGGAGGUAUGCUCAUGCAGAUGACCUGACGCCUCUUGGUCGGAGCUGCGUCUUUUGUCAACACCUGAACUCUUACCAGAGCUUGUCCUGCAUUUUCCAGGGUCCCACAAAGCAAAUGAAAUGUGAUUAGACCCACCCACGCGGCACUCAAGUCACUGACAACUCACGAUGGGUCGACAUCCAGGAAAGAGACAUCAGCAAAGCCUCAACACAGAAAUUCACCUGCAAAAAUACCCGAGCCCAAUCAAGCUUCCAGGUCUGACAGCUGACAUUCACGCCAAGCAGGCAAACCCCCCCCCCCGGCGCUGGGCACAGGGAAUUUCAGACAUCAAAUUAACAUAAAACUGCCUUCACGUUGCAUAGCAAACUUGAGUACAUUCCUUCAUCCUAAUUCAAGAAACUUUUAGAGAACCAUAGAAAAUGCCAGCAGUCACUUUUUGAAUUCAAAUGAAACAGAAAGGUUAUUUGUUUUCUUUUAAAUCUCUAUUUCCACAAGCAUUGUUCUGACCCUCAAUAGAGCUAAUCCACGUGUUUAAAGUAUUAACAAAUGUAAACUGCAGAAAGAAAGCAAACUCCACUGAAGGAUCUCCCCUCCUCUCCCUCAGCGAAUUAUUCUUCUAGCCUUUGCUGAUGUGAGGUAGCCAACAUCUACCAUCUAGUAAUAAACAAAAGGAGUUGUGCUCAACAGGCUUUAAUCAGCAACAAGAACAGACAUUUCCACCAUGCAUUAAAACAACAUAACCUACCAGAAAAGACACUCACCAGCUCAAAUACAGCAUGUCCGGUUAUCUAAAAUACAGAUUUUCAGAUAAAUAACAAAUAAAUCUUUAGUGUAAGUAUAUCCCAAAUAUUGCAUGGGACAUAUGUAAACCUUUUUUAAAAAGUAUUUAUUGUUUAUCUAAAAUCCAAAGUUAACCAGGAGUAAUGUAUUUUUAUGUACUAAAUUUGGCAUCCCUAACUUCUAAAACAAACACAUUAUUUGAAAGAAUUACUUAAAGGAAGCCUCAAGAGUCCAAAAAAAAAAAAAAAGUGUAAAGGCUGAUGUCAACACAUACACAUGGAUAAAGAGGAACAUUAUUUCUCAUCUAUGUGCAGCAUCAUUAGUUCACUGGGAGGAGUGGAAAUUAUGCACAGGAAAUGGAGAAAAAGCUAGGGGGCGCCGACAUCAUCUCCCAAAAACCCAACCCUCAGAGCCUCAGCGGCCCGUCAGUACUGGACAGGGCCUCUGGAUGGACAACACUGACCCCUAGCGUCUCCUUCCAGGCAAGCAAGGAUCCUGGAACCGAGGCACGGUCCUUUCCUUUCUGUCUGGACAGGCUACAGAGACAUCCCACCUGUAAGUCCCAGCCCAAGGGUCCUGCUAUCUGGGCCCUGAGUAGGGACUGCAAAGGUGAGGAUCGGGGUGGAGACAAGAGAGAACAGGCACAAUGCCAGGAAAACAGGGCAAGUUCCUAGCCUUCAUUUCUCCAUCUUCCUGCCCUUCUUCCCUUCACACCCUGGUGGCAUGUCAUAAUAUAUUAUUAUAUAUUAUUGGUUUCAACACUUAUGACUGGAACCAUCUUGAGAAAGUUUACUUAACCCUCUAAACUUCAGAUUUCCUAUCUGUGUUUUGAGACAAGUGGCACCUUCACCUCAUGAGGCUAUGCUGGAGGUUUAUAUGAAAUACAGAUAAAGCACACAGACAUUGAGUCUAUGACAAGGUUACUACAUUAAAUCAGUGGAAAAACAUAACAUAACCUACCAGAAAACAUUCACUCAACUGAUUGUUGAAUAUAUUAGGUUGGAAAAACCAGAUCAAUGUGGGAAAAUGUUUAAAGUACCUCACAGAAUAUAUACGAGGUUUUACACGGGUUAACACAAUGUGGAAUAAAGCAAAUGUAAUGAAGCAAACUAGAUUGAUUAAAACAAUGAGGAUAGUUUAAUGGUAGGGUAGAGAACGUCUAAAGUAUAUGUAAAAUCCAAAAACCCUAAAGACAAUUCUGAUGUUUUAGAACUUCUACAAUAAAAGACUUCAGAAAGUAAAAGACAAAUGAUAAACCAACAGAACGUAUUCAAAACAUGAGAAUCAAAUCCACAAUAUAUAAAGAGUUUCUAUAAAUUAACAAGAAAAAGACAACACAUUUUUUAAAUGUGCAAAAUGCAUGGACAAUAUACAUCAGGCAAGAAAUACAAAGGCCAGUAAACAUGAAAACAUGCUUAUGCUCACAAAAAAAGAAAAAAAGAAAAUGGAAAUUAAAGCAAUAAAAAUAUACCAUUUUUUUUCUUUCAGACAGGCAAUUUUAGAAAAUUUAUAAUACUAAGAACUAUUGAGGGUGUGGAGAAACAUACACACACAACUCAUAAGCUUUUGGUGGACAUGAGGAUUAUUACACCCAAACAGGCAGCAUCUAUCAAAAUAUAAAAUGCGCAAACUCCUGAAACUACCAAUUUCACUUAAAGAAAUCCAUCAUGGUCCAGGCGCAGUGGCUCAUGCCUGCAAUCCCAGCACUUUGGGAGGCCAAGGUGGGUGGAUCACCUGA
This is a long non-coding RNA of Cercocebus atys (sooty mangabey), 4910 nucleotides long. RefSeq lists it as uncharacterized. The record is from RefSeq and is a predicted model, not a curated record. Lineage: Eukaryota; Metazoa; Chordata; Mammalia; Primates; Cercopithecidae. The transcript has 3 exons.